Molecule: long non-coding RNA, 9513 nt
Organism: Callithrix jacchus (white-tufted-ear marmoset)
Lineage: Eukaryota; Metazoa; Chordata; Mammalia; Primates; Cebidae
Source: RefSeq, a predicted model, not a curated record
UAAUUGUCACCAUUCUUUCUUUCUUGAUUUCUGGAGGAAAGCUCUCUUUCAGCUUUCUGCUUUUAAAUGACUUACAUUUAGAAGUCAUUUAGACUUCUUUGUGUUUCUUUUUAAUUAAUAGAUUUAUUUUUUAGAGCAGUUUUAGGUUCACAGUAAAGUUGGGCAGAAAGUGCAGAGUUCCUACAUACCUGAUUCCUCCUCCCAUUUACAGAUUCCCCCACAAUCAGCAUCCUAUAUCAAUAUGGUACUUUUGUUACAAUUGAUGAACCAACAUUGACACAUCAUACUAAACCAAAAUCCAUAGUUUACAUUAGAGUUGCACAUUUAUGUGUUGUGAAUUCUUUGCACAUUCUAAGGGUGUCAUACAUUUUAUGGGUUUUGGCAAAUGUAUGAUUACAUGUAUCCACCACUAUAGUAUCAGGUAGAAUGGGUUCACUGCCCUGAACAUCCUGUGUGCUUCAUGUAUUCAUCCCUCCUUCCCCCUGGUCCUCGGGUAACCACUGAUCUUUUUACUGUCUCCAUAGUUUUGCCUUUCAUAGAAUGUCAUAUACUGACAUUGAAAUCAUAGCAUAUGCAGCCUUUUCAGAGUGGCUUAUUUCACUAAACAAUAUGCAUUUAAGAUUCCUGCUUGUCUUUAUGUAGCUCAGUAGCUCAUUUCUUUAUCACACUGAAUAAAAUUUCAUUGUGUAAUAUAGUUAAAAAAAAUUGAAUUGACCCAGUUUUAAGCUUUAGCUAGAGGCAGUCAGUUGCCAUUCUUGAGUGACCCAUUAAGUGCACACUCCCAACUGUCUCCCUUUUUAGGCUCUCAUGCAUUGAGCCAGUAUGUUCCCACCUCAAGCCCCUCCCAGGCCCGGCUAUAGACAACCAGUCACCGUCUCUACGCCCAAGAGCUCAUGGAAAUUAUUUGAACUACUCAAUCCUAAACUUGCUUACUGUGACUUGCCCAUUCUUUCCUGCUGAAACCAUGGCCAAGGUGCUUGCUCACAGUUCUCCUCUCUCCUUCCGUCUUGUGAGUGGCCCUGGUGCUUCCCCUGAGUGGCCCUGCAUAGCAAGCUAUAUUCUCCCCAGGGAACUGUGAGUGUAACUGACUGUAAAACUCUUUCCAAUUCCUCCCUCUUGAUCUGUGUCUGCCCUCACCAUACCUCACCCAAGGUAGUAUGUGUAAAUAGCAUCAUAUGGGUGCACCAGAGUUUAUUUAUACAUUUACUUGUUGAAAGACAUCUUGGUUACUUCCAAGUUUCAGCUAUUAUGAAUAAAGCUGCUAUGAACAUUCACAUGCAGGUUUUGGUGUAGUCAUAAGUUUUCAGAUCUGUUGGAUAAAUACCAAGGAGUAUGACUGCUGGAUCUUAUAGUGAGAAUAUGUUUGCUUUUGUAAGAAACUGCCAAACUAUUUUCUAAAAUGUCUGUACCAUUUUUCAUUUCCACUACCAAUGAAAGAGAGUUCUUGUUUUCCACCUCUUCGCCAGCAUUUGGUUUUGUCAGUGUUCUGGAUGUUAGCCAUUCUAGUAGGUGUAUAGUGAUACUUCCUUGUUUUAAUUUGAAAUUCCCUAAUAAUGUACAAUGUUGAGUAUCUUUUCAAUGCUUGCCAUCUGUAUAUAAUCUUUGGUGAACUGUCUGUCCAGAUAGUUUCUCAAUAUUUUAAUUGGAUUGUUCAUUUCCUUGUUGAGUUUUAAGAGUUAUUUCUCUAUUUGGAUAAUAGUCAGAUAUGUCUUUUACAUGUAUGUUCUUUUUAGAAUGCUAUCUGGUUCCCUGAGACUUCAUAGAUUUACUCUUAUAAUAGAUGGUUCUCUGUAGCCAUUUAGUUUCCAUAAAGGAAAAUGUUUUAUGAGUAUUUAUUAAAGGAAUAGGUUGAGGGAUACUGACUAUUAAAAAUUCUAUUGCUACUUACCAGAUGUUAAUCAAUCAUUGAGUCAAUCAAAUACUUAUCAGACACUUAAUAUUUUUCUAGACACUGUUGGAGAUAACACUGGUAAAAGGAGGUAAAAGGCCUGUUAUUGUUUUCGAUAGAUGUAUAGUCUAUUUUGACGUAAUGUAAAUAAAAUUUAGGGCUGGCUUUGUCAUACUAAUUAUAGGUGCAAUUGAAAUCCAGAGAGCAGGAGUUCAUGUGGACUGGAAUUAUUGAGCAAAGAUUCAUGUAUAACAUGAGGGCUGACCUAGGCUUGGAAGGUCAGGUAACCCAUGUACGAAUGGAAAGGAAAGGAUACAUGUAAUGUGCCAGAGCACCUUGUAGGUGUUUAUAAUGUGUGUGCCUCGAGCAUUGUAAACACUUAAUAUUUUUAUUACAUGGGUAGCUCCUCAAGAAGGAAAAGCAGAUAGCUCCUUUCUGACUGAUUUAUUUGAAAGGGCCAGUAGGACUCCAGUUCCUGUAUAAAGAUAGCACUGCUACCAUCUAUCUACUCCUACAAUACACAGUAGGUAUUUGUCUAGUCCAUUUGUGUUGCUAUAAAUGGAUACCUGAGGCUGGGUAAUUGAUAAAGAGAAGAGGUUUAUUUGGCUUAAGGUUUUGCAGGCUGUACAAGAAGCACAGCAUCAACAUCUGCUUCUGGUGAAGGUCUCAGGUUGCUUCCACUCAUGGUGGAUGGUGAAAGGGAGUCAGCACAUGCAAAGAUCAUACAGUGAGAGAGGAAAACAAGAACGUGGGCAAGGGGGUGCCAGACUAUUUUUAACAACCAGUUCUUGUGAGAACUAAUAUGGUGAGAACUCAUUACCACUAGGACGCGCCAAGCCAUUCUUGAGGGGUCCACCCUCAUGUCCUAAACACCUCCCAUUAGGUCCCAUCUCUGAUAUUGAGGAUCAAAUUUUAGCUUGAGGUUUGGGGAGAUACAUAUCCAACCAUAGCAUUCCACCCUUUUCCCAUCAAACUUCAUGUUCUUUUUACAUUGCAAAAUAUAGUCAUUUCAUCCUAAUAAUCUCCAAAAGUCUUAACUUGUUCUAGUAUCAACUCAAAAGUCCAAUGUUCCCAAUCUUAUCUGAGAGUCAAGAGAAAUUCCUUGCAGCUGGGAGCCUAUAAAAUCAAAAACAACUUAUUUACUUCCAAGAUACAAUAGUGGUACAAGCUUGCAGUAAACAUUCCCAUUCCAAAAGGGAAAAAUUGGCCAAGAGAAAGGGGUAACAGCUUCCAUGCAAGUUUGAAAUACAGCAGGGGGAAUAUUAAAUCUUAAAGCCCCAAAAUACUCUUUGACUCCAUGUGUCAUAUCCUGAGUACGUUGGUAUGAAGAGUGUGGCCCCAGUGGCUCUAGCAGCCCUGUCUCCAUGGUUUUGCUGAGUGUAGCCUACAUGGCUGCUAUUAUAGGUUGGAGUUCAGUGUCUGUGGCUUUUCUAGGUUGAAGUUGCACAUUGCUGGUGGCUUGAUAAUUCUGGGGUCUGGAGGGUUGUGGCUCUAUUUUCACAGCUCCACUAGGUAGUACUCUGGUGGGGACUCUGUCCAGGGGGCUCCAACUCCACAUUUCCCACUGCCCGAGUUGAGGCUUUCUGCAGUGGCUCCACCCCUGUGGCAGGCUUCUGUUGGGUGCCCAGGCUUCAUGAUACAUUCUCUGAAAUCUAGGAGCAAACUGCCAAGCCUCCACCAUUCUUGCAUUCUGUGCACCUACACACUUAACACUACGUGGAAGCCACCAAGGCUUAUGCCUUACACCCUCAGAGCAGUGGCCAGAUUAAUAUUUGUGGCCCUUUGACCCACAGCUGCGACUGAGGGAGGGAUGCACAGAGCAGCUGCUUGAGCUGGAGCAGAACAGCUGUACCCUAGGAAAUCAUUCUGUUUUCCUAGGUUGCUGGGCCUGUGAUGGGAGGAGUAGCCUUGAAAAUGUCUGAAACACCUUUGGGGCCUUUUCCCCAUUGUCUUGAUUAUUAGCACCUGGCUCCCUUUUAAUGAUACAAAUCCCUCUGGUGAGUGGUUGCUCUGUAGUGACCUUGAAUUCUUCUGAAAAUGCUCCUUCCUUCUCUACCACAUGGCCAGGCUACAUAUUUUCCAGAUUUUUAUGCUCUGCUUCCUUUUUAAUGGUAAGUUCCACUUUAGGUCAUUCAUUUGCUGCUGUAUAUGACCAUAAGCUGUUAAAAGCAACCAUGUUCCUUCUUGAAGCUUUGCUGCUGAGAGAGUUCUUCCCUUUAGAUACCCUAGGUCAUCAUUCUUAAGUUUGGCCCUAGGGCAUGGUCACAAUGCAGCUAAGUUCUUUGCUAUAGCAACAAGGGUGAUCUUUGCUUCAGUUCCGAGUAAGUUCCUCAUUUCCAUCAGAGACUUUAUCCAUUUGGACUUUGCUGUCUAUAUUUCUAUCAGCAUUUUGGUCACAACCAUGCAACCAAUCUCUAAGAAUUUCCAGACUUUUCUUUGUUUAUUUUUCUUCUUGUGUGUCCUCCAAACUCUUCCAACCUCUGCCCAUUAUCCAGUUCUGAAGCUGCUUCCACAUGUUCAGUUCCAGGUAAGACUGUGUCGGGGGAGACUUUCUCCUACAGACCCCACCUCUUUAAUCUGGCAGCUUUCACUGUGGUCCGCUACCCUACUCAGAAGAUAUCCUGUGGGUGGAGUGGAGAGGUCUAGGUCUGACUUCUUGAAGCUGGGAGAGCUUGUGUCACGCUGAGUGGGAAUCCUGGCCACUUUGAACAUCUGUGGAGCAUACUUCUCCUCCAAAACAGAAAUAACUGAGCAAGUAAGGCAACCUUCCUCUUCUAAACAAAGGGAUUCCGUCACAUCAUCUGGGCCCAUUAUAGGGUGUUUUCAAAUUUCCAUAAGCUCAGUCAAAUUUAAGACUUCACUAAUUUGGGCAUGUGAUCAGUUAGGAGGCGCUAGACUGAAAUACGGAGUAGUGGUUCAGUGCACAGCGUUAGGAGUCAGACCUGGUGGGAAUCCUGGCUUUGCCACUUAUUAGCUGUGAACUUGAACAAUUUAUUUAUUUGCUCUCAGACUGCUUUCUCUUCUGUAGAACUGAAACAAAAUACCUAAUUAUAAUGUAGUUUGGGGGUUUUUUUGAGACAGAGUUUGGCUCUUAUUGCCCAGGCUGGAGUGCAAUGGAGCAGUCUCGGCUCACUGCAACCUCCACCUUCUGGAUUCAAGUGAUUCUCCUGUCUCAGCCUCCUGAGUAGCUGGGAUCACAGGCAUGCAUCACCAUGCCAGCUAAUUUUAUAUUUUUAGUAGAGAUGGAGUUUCUCCAUGUUAGUCAGGCUGGUCUUGAACUCCCAGCCUCAGUUGAUCUGACCGCCUUCGUCUCCCAAAGUGCUGGGAUUACAGGCAUGAGCCACCAUGCCUGGCCAAUUAUAAUGUAGUCUUGAGGAUUAAAUGAGAUAAGGAAUGCACAACAGUUCAUGAUUAAAAAGUAGUCCCUUUUUCAUAUUAAUAUUUAAAUUAUUCUAAGCCCUUAUCCUGCUGGUUAUAAGAAGUCCAAUUCUCUGUUGGAUCCCCCUACUCCAAGUUUUUGUUUGUUUGUUUGAUUUUAUUUCAAUAGGGGGAACAGGUGGUUUUUGGUUACAUGGAUAAGUUCUUCAGUGGUGACUUCUGAGACUUUGGUGCACCUGUCACCUAAACAGCAUAUACACUGUACCCAAUAUGUAGUCUUUUAUCCCUCACUCCCCUCUCCUCCUUCCCCCCAAAUCCCCCAAAUUUAUUAUAUCAUUCAUAUACCUUUUUGUCCUCAUAACUUAGCUCCCACUUAUAAGUGAGAAUAUACACUAUUUGUUUUUUUCAUUCCUGAGUUACUUAGAAUAACUCCAUCCAGGUUGCUGUGAAUGCCAUUAUUCCAUCCUUUAUAUGGCUGAGGAGCAUUCCACGGUGUAUAUGUACUGAUUUUCUUUAUCCACCUGUUGCCUGAUGGGCAUUUAAGUUGGUUUCAUAUAUUGCAAUUGUGAAGUGUGCUGCUAUAAACAUGCAUGUGCAAAUAUCUUUUUCAUAUAAUGACUUCUUUUCCUUUGAGUAGAUAACCACUAGUCUCCAAGCUAUUUUGGGGAACAUGGGAGAAAGUAGUUUAUAUUUUUAUUUUUUUAAGACACAGUCUUGUCCUGUCACCCAGGCUGGAGUGCUGCAGUAGCACCAUCUCAGCUCAUUGCAACCUCUGCCUCCUGGGUUCAAGCAAUUCUUCUGCUUCAGCCUCCCGAGUAGCUGGGAUUCAGGUAUGUGCCACCACACCUGGCUAAUUUUUGUAUUUUUACUGGAGAUGAGGUUUCGCCAUGUUGACCAGGCUGGUCUCGAACCCCUGACCUCAAGUGAUCUGCCUCGGUCUCCCAAAGUGCUGGGAUUACAUGUGUGAGUCACCAUGCCUGGCCCAAAGAAAGUAGUUUUAAAUUCUACAUGUUAACCGGGUAGUCAUUAUUCCACUGAAUCCUUUCUGUUGCUCCAGAUGUCUUGUGUAACCUCUUGCUAUUAUAUAGCUCAGUUCUCUGGACUUGAAUUCAAAUGAAGCUCCAGCUAGCUCAUAUAAUGUAUUGUGUCAAUCAGCAAAAAGUGAUCCUUCCAAAUAGGGCCAUGACUUCAUGAACACAGUAGGCCUUUGAAUGAAUUAGAAAACAAUGUCCUGUCUUUCCAGGUGGACUCAGCCCGAUGUCAGGAUCCACAGUUUGUUGAAGAGAGUGCAGGCUGCAUUUCAACCCUCAUUUCUCUCCUUAGCCAGAUGCUUUUGGACAAUUAAAAAUCCAAUACAAGCAAUGGCCUUGGGUAGUCCCUAGCUGCAUGUAACUGGCUUAAACAAAAUAGAAGUUUAUUUCUUGCUCAUGUAAAAGGAGGUAGGACUUCCAGAAUUGAUCUGACGAUUUCAUGCUAUCAUCAGAGUCUUGGUUUCUGUUUUUCUGCUCCACCAUCCUAAGUAUGUGCCUUUCAGUGUUAAGGUUAUUUAAUGGUCCAUGACUCAUAUCCAAGUUCUAAAUGGUCGGAAGGAGGAAGGAUGGAAGAUGAGUGUGCCCUCAUGCACAUAAGGAUUCUUUUACAUAAAUCUUGUUGACCGAAGCUUCAUCAUAUGACUACACCUGUCUGCAAAGGAAACUCAGAUAUGUAUUAGUUGUAUCAUUGAGGAGGUGGGGAAAAUGGAUAUUGAGGAUGGGCCAUUGGCAGUUUCUCACAAGGCUUUUCUCAUUUACAGCUCUACGUUACUCUAGGCAGGGAGCCAGAGCACUCCCUUACCAUGACCACUCCCUCUUCUGAUGCAAAACAGCUCAGAGUCUAAUUUAAGAAAAUUUAAUUGAAUGCAGAGGAUGAUAAGAAAAUAACACUGCAGAGAGCUGAAGGCAAUAUUGCAUAAUGGUUAAGCACAUUCGCUCUAGAGUCAGAUUGUCUGGGUGAAACACUGGCUCUGUGAUAAUUGCUAAGCUAUGAGACUAUGGGCAGCAUUUUUCCCUAACCUUUCUGGGCUUCUGGUUUCCCAGUCUGCAACAUAAUAGGGUUGUUAUGUGUAUUAAAUGAAAUAAUACACAUGUAGUCCAUUUAGUGCAGAGUGGCUAUAUUCCUACAAAUUAGCACUCUAAAGGAUUUGAGGGCAGACAGGAGUUGAUAUAUAUCUCUGGCCAUGGUUUCUUGGUGAUACCACUUACGAGAAUAUCGGUUUAUCCUUCCACUCUGCAGUCAUAUUUAUGAAGUGAUAUUUAUGAAAUACCAACCAAUACCUAAGUGACUGCUGAUCUUUACCCUGGGCUUGCUUUAUUGUAUCCUUGAACAGCCAGAAAACUUGCAUUUGAAGAGUCAGCAUAAUUCUCAUUCUUUGUGGCAAGUUGAACACUUCAUUUUCUUACCCUUGUCGGCCAUUAUGCAUUAAAACUAUUUGCCAGAAAUAAAUGGCAAAAAGAGAAUGCACAGAGGGGUAAAGACUACAGAAUGUGCUCGGCUCUUUGAGUGUUUCCAGCAUCUGACUCUGAUGCCCAUUAGCUACAAGUCCGCAGUCUGGUCUGCCCUGCUGGCUUUCCUGUAUUUGUCCACGUGGGAGUAUACAGACGAUAUGGGAUGGCCAUCUAGAAAUAUUUAUCUUCUUUUUUUUUUUCCGAGAAAGAUGUUUUAGAGAAAAAUAGAAUUAUAAUGCAUCAGUGCUGUGACAGGUAUUAAACAGGUUAGAGGUGUAUAUGACAUUCAAACUACUUCACUGAGAGAAAGUCCUCAAUAAGUGUUCAGAGAAAAAGUAAAAAUGAUUAUAUACAUGACUGUCCGCAAUGACUCCUUUCAGGGUUGCAGGCUCUGAUCCCCAUUUGAAAGUCUUGCUUUGCUUUCUAUGGGCUCCCAAGCAGCGGAGGGCCCACUUCUCAUGGGUCUCUCUCCUCAUGUACUUCUCAUGUCAGACACCCCAAGUGUCUCAGUCCACAGCAUAUGAGACUGGUGGGGAUCCUCCCUUGCCUCCCUCCAAGGCCAUGUUUUUUCCUGUCUGAGCAUGACUGACAGUGGAAACUCAUUUUCUUCAGGGGAUGCUCCUAACCCACACAGAGGACAGUCUGAACUCUAUGGUCCUGACAAUUACUAAAGUUCAGAGUACGUUGCUCAAAAAGUAGGUUUUCUCCACCUUUGUUUGUGGCUCCAAGUUUCAGUCUAAAUCUAUAUUUUAAAAAAAUUCUCUACAUCAGCAAGUAUAUGGCAUAGUUAAAGCUACCUCUAGUUUAUAUUAUAAUACAUAAAACAAUAUCUUGAGCUAUAGCAUCAUCAUUAGGACUUUAAGUGACUUCAGUUUUUUUUUUCUCUAGACAACUAUGGAUAGGAACUAGCUUUACAGUAGUAAUAGUACAUUUUCCUGAUAAUAAUAUCAACUUUCUGCUUCCAAAAAAUGUCCCAAAGAUCUCCAUCUAGAAAAGCUGAAAACCCUCAACCAGUCCUGAAUUGCGCUUCAAAUGCUUAAAAAGAAAAUAAAAAUACUUUUUUCACUGAGGAACCAACUUGCUAGUGUUUAUUUAGCACAUGAUAAGCAGGAAAACAGUAUCCAUUGUCCCUACCUGUUCCUAUCCAAAGAGGACUUUCUGUGGCUUUGAGUAAAGGACUUAUGUUAAAUAAGGUUACAAAACUGUAAAAACAGGAUCCUGUAAAAAAAAAAAAAAAAAAAGACCUAUGUUCACUGUAAAAGGCAGUAUAUUACUGUGAGCUUCCUUGCAGCAAGGACAAAGAAAGGAAAUUCAUCAAGCCUUUUAACUCGGCAAUGAACAAGUACACCGAUUCUUCAAGAGAGCAGGUUUUUCGUGGCAGUGCAUCCUACAGGCUGAGAGACAUAAUAGGCAGUGUCCUCGAAAAAGCUAAAGGCACGGGGUUUUUGUGCAACUUCACACAAUUCUAAGGGCAUCUAGGCUUAUGAGGAGGUCUGCCUGGACUGAUAGGCAGACAUCAAAAUACCUUGGAGAGCAGAAGAGAGGCAUGUACUUUUCAAAAUAUCCCUUCCUCUCAGACAUUUGAAGAUGAACUGUCAUUUUCAGAAGAGGUGAUAAAGACCAGAGGAAUAUUUGAUAGAGUUGAAUUUGAGCUUUGGAGAAGUUGUAUUUAUUGCUGAGUGCAUUGGGUAUAAUGACAGACAUGUUAAUAACUACUUAAAUAUUAAAUACCAGUUUGUCUUUUCAUGUUUUUAGUCAUAAAAA